RNAcentral lists this ribosomal RNA (689 nucleotides) under uncultured bacterium. Its description in RNAcentral is "bacterial SSU rRNA". It matches the Rfam family "Bacterial small subunit ribosomal RNA", at positions 8 to 689 of the family's 1533-position model. The record is from RNAcentral.
AGAGUUUGAUCCUGGCUCAGGAUGAACGCUGGCGGCAUGCCUAAUACAUGCAAGUCGAACGAGGAUCCUUCGGGAUCCUAGUGGCGAACGGGUGAGUAACACGUAGGGAACCUGCCCGCGCACCGGGAAUACGCUCUGGAAACGGAGAACAAAUCCCGAUGUACAGGAAGGAGGCAUCUUCUUUCUGUGAAACAUCCUGUAAGGGAUGGGGCGCGGAUGGACCUGCGGUGCAUUAGUUGGUUGGCGAGGGUAAAGGCCCACCAAGACGAUGAUGCAUAGCCGGCCUGAGAGGGCGGACGGCCACAUUGGGACUGAGACACGGCCCAGACUCCUGCGGGAGGCAGCAGUAGGGAAUUUUCGUCAAUGGGCGCAAGCCUGAACGAGCGAUGCCGCGUGAGUGAAGAAGGCCUUCGGGUCGUAAAGCUCUGUUGCGGGGGAAAAAAGGCAUCUGCAGGAAAUGGUAGAUGACAGAUGGUGCCCCGCCAGAAAGUCACGGCUAACUACGUGCCAGCAGCCGCGGUAAUACGUAGGUGGCGAGCGUUAUCCGGAAUGAUUGGGCGUAAAGGGUGCGCAGGCGGUCCUGCAAGUCUGGAGUGAAACGUAUGAGCUCAACUCAUGCAUGGCUCUGGAAACUGGAGGACUGGAGAGCAGGAGAGGGCGGUGGAACUCCAUGUGUAGCGGUAAAAUGC